Molecule: ribosomal RNA, 614 nt
Filed under: uncultured bacterium
Lineage: Bacteria
Description: bacterial SSU rRNA
Rfam family: Bacterial small subunit ribosomal RNA (bases 1-517)
Source: RNAcentral
CCUACGGGAGGCAGCAGUGGGGAAUAUUGGACAAUGGGCGAAAGCCUGAUCCAGCAAUGCCGCGUGAGUGAUGAAGGCCUUAGGGUUGUAAAGCUCUUUUACCAGGGAUGAUAAUGACAGUACCUGGAGAAUAAGCUCCGGCUAACUCCGUGCCAGCAGCCGCGGUAAUACGGAGGGAGCUAGCGUUGUUCGGAAUUACUGGGCGUAAAGCGUACGUAGGCGGUUAUUCAAGUCAGAGGUGAAAGCCUGGAGCUCAACUCCAGAACUGCCUUUGAAACUAGAUAGCUAGAAUCUUGGAGAGGUGAGUGGAAUUCCGAGUGUAGAGGUGAAAUUCGUAGAUAUUCGGAAGAACACCAGUGGCGAAGGCGACUCACUGGACAAGUAUUGACGCUGAGGUACGAAAGCGUGGGGAGCAAACAGGAUUAGAUACCCUGGUAGUCCACGCCGUAAACGAUGAUAACUAGCUGUUCGGGCUCUACGAGCUUGAGUGGCGCNGCUACGCAUUAAGUUAUCCGUCCGUCGGGAGGUACGGUCGCGAGAAUUAAAACGUUAAAACGGUAAAGUUAGUACGGCGUGAGACGUGCCGAACGGACGACCGACCGAGGGGAGGUAGG